AUGUCAUAUGAAAGGAGAGAACAUUAGCACUCACCUUGAUAAGUAUGGAGGAGAUUCCAGUGGCCUUUACAACACAGAUAGGGUGAAGGCAGUGACACCUACUCUGUGCAUCCAACCAUGUUGUUUU
This is a small nuclear RNA of Trichosurus vulpecula (common brushtail), 127 nucleotides long. Lineage: Eukaryota; Metazoa; Chordata; Mammalia; Diprotodontia; Phalangeridae. The record is from RefSeq and is a predicted model, not a curated record.